RNAcentral lists this ribosomal RNA (626 nucleotides) under uncultured fungus. Its description in RNAcentral is "eukaryotic LSU rRNA". It matches the Rfam family "Eukaryotic large subunit ribosomal RNA", at positions 40 to 647 of the family's 3401-position model. The record is from RNAcentral. Lineage: Eukaryota; Fungi.
AUAUCACUAAGCGGAGGAAAAGAAAUUAACUAAGAUUGCCUCAGUAACGGCGAGUGAAGCGGCAAGAGCCCAAAAUGUAAAUCUUCACGCUGCGCGUGACGAAUUGUAAUCUAAAGAUGGUUCGCUCAACGGGUGGUGGCGCAGAAGUGCCUUAGAACGGGCCGCCAGAGAGGGUGACAGCCCCGUAUGUGGUGCCACUGCCUAACGAGCGGGUUAUCAAAGAGUCGGGUUGUUUUGUAUUGCAGCCCUAAGUGGGAGAUAAACUUCUUCUAAGGCUAAAUAUAUAUGGGAAACCGAUAGCGAACAAGUACUGUGAAGGAAAGAUGAAAAGAACUUUGAAAAGAGAGUCAAAAGACUUGAAAUCGUUGAGAAGGAAGCGGUAGGAAUUUAUUCUUCGGCGGAGGACGGUGGCGUCUGCCUAACCAUUGAUGGUCGUUAGUACUGUAUAAGGCUGCGGCUGUCACUUGGGGAAGCGGGCGUUUUGCCCUCCGUCGUGAGGCAAGAUGGGAUCGUGUUCCCGCAGAGGCUUCUCCAACCUGGCCUGAUUCGUUGGGCAGUUGGAGUGCGCUGGCGGGCAUGCGGUCUGAGGAAGCUUCGUGCGAUCUUGCCAAAAUGGUUCUUACCGA